AUGGCUUUAUCCGGUUCCACGACGAGGCCACGGUGCGCUGACCAAGCGGACAUGCCGAACAAGUGGGAGGAGGCAAGGUUGGACAAGACAAAGGAGAAGGAUGUGAAAACCCCUUCAUGUUGGUGUGCAGAUGAGUGCAAGGUGAAGGUCUCCACUGACCGGAAGAAGUCGUGGACGGAAGGAAGAAGAUAUUUUGUGUGUCCCAACUAUGCACAUGAUCGCGCGCGUCCCACUAACGCCUAUGACAUCCCACCGGUAUGUUAG
Molecule: ribosomal RNA, 264 nt
Filed under: Triticum aestivum (bread wheat)
Lineage: Eukaryota; Viridiplantae; Streptophyta; Magnoliopsida; Poales; Poaceae
Description: partial small subunit ribosomal RNA
Source: RNAcentral